Molecule: non-coding RNA, 3806 nt
Organism: Heterocephalus glaber (naked mole-rat)
Lineage: Eukaryota; Metazoa; Chordata; Mammalia; Rodentia; Bathyergidae
Source: RefSeq, a predicted model, not a curated record
AUGUAAUCUUGCCCUGGAGCAUCACAGCAUCACUGGAACAUCGAGGCCUCAGCUGUGACUGGAGGCAUACAGAAUUAUGUUUCCGCAUGCCAUAGCUGGCUUGCAUGGCAAGGACACUAGGCCUCAGACAGCCCUAACCACAAUUUAAUUAUGAAAUUGUUUUCCAAAAAAAAUUAUACAGAAUGGCUCUCAACAUUUAGCCGUUCAGAAAAGUAGUUUCUUUGCUUUUUGGAGAUCUCCCUGGCAUGUUCCAACUUUCUUCAUCUGUCUUCACCUGGGCUCCCAGUGUCCGCAUCGAUAGAAAAUGACUCAACACCUUAAUCAAAUUGUGAUUCUGAGAACUGAGACAAUACUUCUACUAACUGUCUUGCUGGAGAGAUGAAGGCAGACUGGGCUUAUUUCUCCAGCCCUCUCCUGGGCCCUUCCAGCUAAAAAAGGAACAUUCUUGGGCAUCUCCUCCAGCUUGGGACUCCCGGUGUACUUCACAGUGCUGGACUCUUUCAUACCCACACUCUGGGUAGCAGAACUGAACAGAGGUUAGACUACAAGGAAGUAGCUCUGGAGGCCUUUGGUUGACAGGAGUUCAGGGAAUGUCACUCAAAGCCUGAUGGUUUAGGAUGCUGGUUACUUUCUACUGAAAGUACCUGGAGUCCAGUAGAUGCUGAUCAAGGCUUUCCUCUGAGCUACUCACAUCUUUGGACAGAACAAUUGUCAUGGAUUCGCUUCCCUGGGAAGCUCAUGGACCAGGCAAGAUCAUAUACCAAGAGAUAAGGCUGGAGGUCAUUACCUCGUCCACAUGGCUCCAUCACAGGUGGUUUAGAAGUGAACAUGGGAACCGAACAUGGUGACAUAUGCCUGUAAUCUCAGCACUUGAGAGGCUAAGACAGGAGGAUCACCGUGAGUUCAAGGCCAGCCUGCCCUACAAAGAAGUAAUGCAGAUAGAAUAUAAACAUUCUACAGGUUCCUGGUACAUGACCUGGUGAUGGUUAACUGGCAAUCCUAUCUUCUCCAAAACCUAAUCUAACGGAUGGAUGUUGAUACGACAUCAGGCUCCUCAACACACUCAUUGUCAGCAAAUGACCGGAGUCUGCACAGACCUCCAUAAAUAUUUAUGAAACGGAAGCAUAAUCCAAUGGCUACAUCUUCCUGUCCAUUCUGGGGUGGAGGAGUGGACCUUCCUUCACCCCUGCUGUAGUACAAAUGCCCCUGCAUGUUCCGUCUCCUCCGCAGCCUGAGGAGGCCCGUGCUCAGACUUGUUUCUUGUUACUUAGGACUCUUGAGCCACUUGUCACUGUUCUCUUGCCAUCCUGUCUUUCUCCUUCUCAACACUGUCAGGACUUAGGAGUGACCCAGUCCUGCACUGCUCAGCACCCUGCCUUCAGUCUGUCUUCUGCUGUCUGCGUCCUGCUGAGAUAAUUCCGUUUGCGCUGUCCCUGGUCAACAUGAGGGCUGGCUCCAGUGCUGGACACCCAGACUUCUGUAGAGCACUGGAUUUAAAGUCGUCUCUCUGGCUGCUGAGCUGUCUUCCCAUGACCUGGAGGGUGCACUGGUCUCUGAUUUCAUCCUCCUGCCUCUUCCCUUCGGCCUCUAGGUUCCCCCCAGGGUGGUGCUGCUUCUUAAAAGCUUCCUUUUCUUUCUUUCUUAUACAGUACUCUUUUUGUUCUUAGCCAUUUUCCUGUGAUUUCAGUUGCAACCUGUUCAAACGUGCCACUUAGAACAACCCAAGUUCUCUGUGCAGCAGUCACAGCAAUGCAGUGGAAAGGAGGGAACCUGAGAUUGCUGGACUUGAACUCAAGCCUGGCUUCUGCUAUUCUCUAACCUUGGGCAAGUCACUGAAACUCCUUGAGCUUUGGUUUCCUCAUCUGUAAAGUGAGGUUGAAUGUAACACUCACCUCUUGAUGUAUGUAAAAGCUUGUUGAACACCGCAGCAUAUACUGUUAAGUGACAAUCCAACACACAAAUUAACAAGCUUGGAGUCAAAAGAAAAAAAAAAAAAGAAACCUGGAUUUAACUACUGGCUGUCUUUUCCUAGUUGUGUAACUUUGACCACUGAGUUAGCAUCUCUGUGCUCAGUGUCCUCAUCUGUGGAAUGGGAAUAUUACCAGCCCCCACUGUCUUUUUGUGAGGAGGAAGGUAGUUAACGCACACUCAGAGCUUAGAAUAGUGUCUAGCAGACCAUAAGCAUUUACUAAAUAUGAGCUGUUACCGUUUUCUUCACACCUGUCUGCUGCACCAGCUUUGGCCCGGUAAACAGGAUUUGUAACUGGGAGCACACUUACCCCUUUCCUCCUCUUCACUGCCGUAUUUCUCAUCUGUUUAGUUACUGUCCCUGUGAUCCCAGGUGGCUGUGCUGACCAAGGUGCCUCUGCCCUCACUGUGAGUCUUCAAAGGACGGGAGGUGCUCCAGGGAAGAGGCCUAUGGCUUCCCCUCUUUUCUACCUUCACGUUUGACAUCCUAGCCAGGCCAGGGACUGUGGGAGGCGGCCUCAGAUUUCAUGACUUACAGUAUGUGCCUUUGGCUUAUUUGUCUGAACUUGAAGGUAGUUAAUAUAUUGCAGGGCCUUCUUCCUUCCUCCCGGAACUCUCCCAUUCUCCUCCGAGGUAAAGCCCAGCGUCUCUAGCCUGGCCACCUCCUUCAUGUCUGUGCACCAACAUCAGCCCAUAGAGCUGUGUCCUGGAGGUUAAGUCACUGACUCUGCUCUUGACAGCUGGGUGGGUGUCUCUGGGCUCCUGCUGCUAGCCACAGGUCAGUGUUUUCCUCUGCGGAUGACUGCCGCCCUCCUAAAACUCCCCUUGCCAUCGCCUGGCCUCGGUACUGACCUCAGAGCUAUGUCUUUGGUGGUGGUGGAGGGAAGUUUAUUACAUCGAAGUUUAUUGCAUCGAAUUCAAUGACCUGCUAUAGUUUUUAUGUCAUACCUUGUUCCAGAAAGUGUUUAAAGACAAAGUGUCAUUAUUAUGUUUCUGAGAUUCUCAAUAAUACUCUUGCUGAAAUUGGUCCAUCAAAGUAGGCUCAGAACCCAGACCAAAUUAUGAGGUCAGUUUGUUUGGGUUAUUCAGUCAUUUGAUGGUGACCUCUCUAAGAGUAUCUGCUCUUGGCUGCCACAAUAGUGCAGCAAUAGUCAGGACCCUCCCUCCAACUUUGGCACAGCUAGGGCUCCAGCCCAGGAAAUCUUUGUAUUCCCAGAUGCCAUACACAGGCCUACAAGCUGGAUGGGUUAAAAUCUUCUUGCUUAGCUCCAGAAGUCUGAAAUCAAGGGAUCAGCAGGCCACACUGGCUCCAAAGAUUCUAGGAAAGAAUCCUUCCUUCCCUCUUGCAGCUUUUGGUGCCCCUAGGUGUUCUUUGGCUGUGGCAGUGUAGCCCCAGCCUCUGCCCCUGUCAUCAUUCAGCAGUCUUCUCCCUGUGUGUUUCUCUCUCCAAGUCUCCCUCUCUCUAUAGGACACCAGCCUCUGGGUUUAGGACCCACCCUAAUCCAGUAGAAUUUCAUCUUUCCUUGAUUAUGUCUGCAAAUAUGUAAAGAUGCUCCCCAAGGUUCAAUUCACAGUUUUUCAGCUUUACAAUGGUACAAAAGCAAUGUUCAUUCAGUAGAAACCAUGCUGUUUGUUUAAACUACAUGCAGUUAAAAUGAGCUUGUUACCAGACAAUUUCACCCCAAGAGAAUUUUCAUUAACCAAAGUGACCAAAGUAAAUUAACUAGACUGUUAAUCUCCAAUAAACAGAAAACUUCAUUGAUUGAACAUUGUCAUCAUAGCAUACAGGAUUCAUGUUCCCACUAUUCUUGCCAAAAAAAAAAAAAAAAAGAGUUGGA